This is a long non-coding RNA of Cyprinus carpio (common carp), 695 nucleotides long. RefSeq lists it as uncharacterized. The record is from RefSeq and is a predicted model, not a curated record. The transcript has 4 exons. NCBI's taxonomy places the organism in Eukaryota, Metazoa, Chordata, Actinopteri, Cypriniformes, Cyprinidae.
AUUUAGUUAUAAGCAGAUCUGUAAAAAUUAAUCAUGUCAUUGUCCAGCUCAGUUAAAUUCUCAUUCCAAUGGCAUCACCACAUCAUUUAUAAUAAUUGAAUGAACAAAAUUGCACUGAAUAUACUGUUUAUUUGUUUCUAGGAGAGGGUCAACCCAUUGAAAAGUGUUCAGCGUACAGUGUAGCCCUCUUUGCAACAGAGGAAGCAUUAGGAGAGAGAAGAAGAGAGACAGUGAAAAGGCACUCGACAGAUGUUGGAAAAUGCACUGGUAACAACUAAAAAAAGAAGACCAAAAAUAUAAUUCAACAGAAGAUGAUGGCUGUGGUGAAACAAGCACUCAAAUAAUGGAACUAAGAGCUGUGGGAGUGCUGGAGAAAUCAAGUGUACCAAGUCCUCUGUCUCCUCAGCCAUGUAAGAGAUCUUCAGAAAUGAAGAGAUUGAGGAGUUAAAUGAAAUCAAAAAGUUAAAAGAAGAUUUAUAAUAUUAGUGCCAAUUCAGUAUGAAAACAGAGAGAGAGAGCUGAGGGAGUGGAAAGACUAUAUCCAAAAUAGUGUUUCCACAUCUGAGAUAAAGGCAGUCAUAAGACCCCAGCGGAACGAUGAGGAUAAGCUCUUCAAAAAAUGAAACCUGCCUGAAUACUGAGGGAAGAAAUGUGCAUGAUUUGUAAAUAAACACUGAGUACAAUUAGUGUUACUC